UGAAUGAUUGGACAUAAUCUU
This 21-nucleotide non-coding RNA is filed under the name Caenorhabditis elegans. Lineage: Eukaryota; Metazoa; Nematoda; Chromadorea; Rhabditida; Rhabditidae. The record is from RNAcentral.